GUAGGGUGCGAGCGUUGUCCGGAAUUAUUGGGCGUAAAGAGCUCGUAGGCGGUUUGUCGCGUCGGCUGUGAAAACUGGAGGCUUAACCUUCAGCCUGCAGUCGAUACGGGCAGACUUGAGUUCGGUAGGGGAGACUGGAAUUCCUGGUGUAGCGGUGAAAUGCGCAGAUAUCAGGAGGAACACCGGUGGCGAAGGCGGGUCUCUGGGCCGAUACUGACGCUGAGGAGCGAAAGCGUGGGGAGCGAACAGGAUUAGAUACCCUGGUAGUCCACGCUGUAAACGUUGGGCGCUAGGUGUGGGCGACAUUCCACGUUGUCCGUGCCGUAGCUAACGCAUUAAGCGCCC
RNAcentral lists this ribosomal RNA (345 nucleotides) under uncultured actinomycete. RNAcentral describes it as "bacterial SSU rRNA". It matches the Rfam family "Bacterial small subunit ribosomal RNA", at positions 527 to 869 of the family's 1533-position model. Lineage: Bacteria; Bacillati; Actinomycetota; Actinomycetes; Actinomycetales. The record is from RNAcentral.